AAGUCUCCAAGGUGCAACUUUCUCUGCCUUGGUUAUGACACUCUUUUGUCAUCCAAAAUGUCAUUUCCUUGUUUUGUAGCACAGUGGACUACUGAUGUACCCUCAAGACUACCUGAGUCAGUUAGCUGAUCUCUUCAUAUGUAUAACUACUGACUAGUUAAUUAUUCUGUAUAUCAAUUUAUGCAGCUGAAUAUGUCUACUAAUACAAAGAAUUUUGUUCUUGUUCUUACCAAAUUGUUUCUUCUGUACUCAGUAGUCCUUUGUUCCAUCUAGUCACAUGCUUUUUUAAAUUGUUAAUCUUAUUUUCUGAUGUUACUGAGACUUUCUAGCUUAGUGACUCCUUAGAAUUAAAUAAUGGUCCAUAGUCUGGGAUCGCAAAUGAAAAUACUGAAUUGAGAAAGUUCUGUGAAAUUUCACUUUUAGAUAGAUUGUUUCAUUGGUUCAUAAAGUAUGAGUGCAUUUUUUCUCCCAAUUUUGUACUUAUCUAACAUUUUUUGUCCCUUGAUUUGCCUACAGUUGCGCUCUGUAAGACAGAAUCCUUGCUUUAUUCAAGAUAUAUAUGCUGCAUUAAUUAUUAUUGUCAUUAGUACCAGAUAAAAUUACGUAUGCAGAUGACAUGAAGCUGGGAAGAGCUGUCGAUCUGCCUGGGGGUGGGAAGGCUUUUCAGAGGAGUCUGGACAGGCAGAAUCACUGGGCUGAGGAAUGAGAUGAAGUUCAACAACACCAAGUGCUGGGUCCUGUGCUUUGGUCACAAUAGCUCCAGGCAACGCUACAGGCUUGGGGUGUUGGUCGACGCUUGGCUGAGCAUGAGCCAGCAGUGUGCUCAGGUGGCCAAAAUGGCCAGCAGCUUCCUGGAUCGUAUAAGAAAUAGUGCAGCUAGCAGGAGCAGGGCGGUGAUAAUCUCCCUGUAGUCAGCCUUGGUGAGGCUACACCUUCAGAACUGUGUUCAGUUUUGGGCCCCUCACUACAAGAAAGACAUGGAGGCCCUGGAGUGUGUCCCAAGAAGGGCAAUGAAGCUGUGAGGGGACAGGGCACAAGCCUUAUGGGAAGCAGUUGAGAGAACUGGGAUUGUUCGGUCUGGAGAAGAGGAGGCUCACAGGAGACAUUAUUGCCCUCUACAUCUACCUGAAAGGAGGUUGUGGCAAGGCAGCAGCUGCUGGACCUCUCAGUGACACCAAAUGGCAACAUCUUUCCAAGAUAAAGCACUUCCAACGGAAGGUCACUUACAAAUUGCAGAUCUUGAUGAAUUAAUGCCAAGGCCUGGAGCAUCCUGAGAAAUGAGGAAGAAGAAGUACCAGUCAGGUUCACAGUCUGCACCUGAUUAUUACUGUUACGACCAAAUCACAAACUGUAGUAAAUCCACUUGACAACUUCAAAGUCUCUGGUCCUCAAUAUUUCAAGGAUAGUCAUGAUCCAUGAGAGAAUUACACAUCCUAAGGAAAUGCUAAUAGAGUAUUACAAACUACACGCAGCAAAAGUGAUUGAUCUAACUAUGGUGUGAAAGAUGACCAAACGCAGUUC
Molecule: long non-coding RNA, 1521 nt
Organism: Numida meleagris (helmeted guineafowl)
Lineage: Eukaryota; Metazoa; Chordata; Aves; Galliformes; Numididae
Exons: 5
Source: RefSeq, a predicted model, not a curated record